RNAcentral lists this ribosomal RNA (253 nucleotides) under uncultured bacterium. Its description in RNAcentral is "partial 16S ribosomal RNA". It matches the Rfam family "Bacterial small subunit ribosomal RNA", at positions 524 to 776 of the family's 1533-position model. The record is from RNAcentral.
UACGUAGGGUGCAAGCGUUAAUCGGAAUUACUGGGCGUAAAGCGUGCGCAGGCGGUGAUGUAAGACAGGUGUGAAAUCCCCGGGCUUAACCUGGGAACUGCGCUUGUAACUGAGAGGCUAGAGUGUGGCAGAGGGGGGUGGAAUUCCACGUGUAGCAGUGAAAUGCGUAGAGAUGUGGAGGAACACCGAUGGCGAAGGCAGCCCCCUGGGCUAACACUGACGCUCAUGCACGAAAGCGUGGGGAGCAAACAGG